GAGUCCGUGGCUCAACGGCAGAGCGCCUUGUUCACAUCAAGGAGGUUGAAGGUUCGAUUCCUUCCGGGCUCA
Molecule: transfer RNA, 72 nt
Filed under: bacterium CG2_30_40_12
Lineage: Bacteria
Also listed under: 4 other names
Description: tRNA-Val
Rfam family: tRNA
About the family: Transfer RNA (tRNA) molecules are approximately 80 nucleotides in length. Their secondary structure includes four short double-helical elements and three loops (D, anti-codon, and T loops). Further hydrogen bonds mediate the characteristic L-shaped molecular structure. tRNAs have two regions of fundamental functional importance: the anti-codon, which is responsible for specific mRNA codon recognition, and the 3' end, to which the tRNAs corresponding amino acid is attached (by aminoacyl-tRNA synthetases). tRNAs cope with the degeneracy of the genetic code in two manners: having more than one tRNA (with a specific anti-codon) for a particular amino acid; and 'wobble' base-pairing, i.e. permitting non-standard base-pairing at the 3rd anti-codon position.
Source: RNAcentral